RNAcentral lists this long non-coding RNA (1337 nucleotides) under Anas platyrhynchos platyrhynchos (common mallard). Its description in RNAcentral is "lncRNA (ENSAPLG00000018279.1)". The record is from RNAcentral. Lineage: Eukaryota; Metazoa; Chordata; Aves; Anseriformes; Anatidae.
CUCAAGUGCUGUAAAAAAAAAAAAACACUGGCUGAAAAUGCUAAGGGCUUUUUAAUGCAACAUGCAAAUAACAUUUGAGCAGCAGAAGACAGCUAGAGAUAGGAAAGGGCACUUGCGUCAGUCCAUUUUAGAAAUCACAGUUCAGGAUCGACCAUAGCUGAGCAGCUCUGGUGCACUUAGUGCCCUUUGAACCUGUUAGGUUAUUGCAGCACCCUAUAUAUGAGUAGCACCUGUCUUCUCUGAGACACUUGUAAUGCUGAACACAACCAAAGUGGCAGUGAGAAGAUGUGUCACCCACAACAGAAUUUGUACAUAUACUAAUAUAUGCCCUGUUAUUCCAUAAGUUCCAUCACAGAACUGUAAAAGAUCACAGUUUUGGUACCAGCACUUCUCAGAAAGGAUGGCAGGAGAUGUGCAAGGUGUUUUUGGUAAUGCAGUUACUUGUUUGGCAUUAUACCAGCCAAAAGAUUUUUUUAUUUCUUCCUGCAGCCAUUCACCUCUAGCUCCCGCACCACAAUAACUGGGUGUGUGAGGCAGGCAGCCACUGCCUGAGUGCAGCCCCAGAGGCAGGAAGCCUCUGGCAGCACCCCACACUGCCCUCUCCUGUGGGGUGAUGGCCACUGCUGACUGGCUCUCAGUUGGGCCCUUCCAGGUCAAGUGUGCAGUGACAUAGGCUAGCGAAUGGGAUCCCAGAUACCUGGCUCACAGCCCCAAGAUUACAGUGCCAUCACAGUGCCAUCAGCUGAAAGAAGAGGAAGAAGGAAUUUCCUCGCUUUCUUAUCCAGACCUCUGUGGGACGGCCAAUGUCAGCUGGGAUUUUCAAUCUGCUUUCAAGUACUGACCAGCUUCCAGCUUUGCAAGCCAUUCAUCUGGUCUCUCAAAAGGAAGUGGAAGAACCCUACAUUUACAGACAUUAAGUUGUAAGCUUAGGAAGAAUGGUCCUAAGAAGAAAAAAACAUCACGUAGCAGUUUCCAAUUACUUACCCAGAAAUUAAAUAUUUUCUUGAAGCCAACAAUCAUCCUUUGCCUUUGCCUCAAACAUGAAGUCACUGGUAAUAGCUUUGAAGGAAUGGGAAAAAACAUAUACAUAUUUGAAUAAUGUUAUGCAAUGGUAAAACUGCUGUUGAAAAAUUGGAUCCAUUUUAAAACCUUAUAUAUUUUGAAUAUAUGUAUGUGAAGAGGUCUCAUUUGUUUAAUAAUAUUUAAUAACAUUUUAAGUCAACAAUAUGGAAAUUAUGUAGUGAGAAACAAAACAGUGGCUUGUAGCAGCAGGUUGUUUUGAUGCCUUUGAAUUGAUAACAAAUAAAUUGUGUCAUGAACUCCGUUGGCUAAGAAGA